UACAGAGACUGCAAGCGUUAUUCGGAUUCACUGGGCGUAAAGGGUGCGCAGGUGGGUUGGCAAGUUUGAUGUGAAAGCCCCGGGCUUAACCCGGGAAUGGCAUUGAAUACUGCUGAUCUGGAGGAUUGGAGGGGGGACUGGAAUUCUUGGUGUAGCAGUGAAAUGCGUAGAUAUCAAGAGGAACACCAGUGGCGAAGGCGAGUCCCUGGACAAUACCUGACACUGAGGCACGAAAGCUAGGGGAGCAAACAGG
This 253-nucleotide ribosomal RNA is filed under the name uncultured bacterium. RNAcentral describes it as "partial 16S ribosomal RNA". It matches the Rfam family "Bacterial small subunit ribosomal RNA", at positions 524 to 776 of the family's 1533-position model. The record is from RNAcentral.